RNAcentral lists this ribosomal RNA (3378 nucleotides) under Triticum aestivum (bread wheat). RNAcentral's name for it is "partial small subunit ribosomal RNA". Lineage: Eukaryota; Viridiplantae; Streptophyta; Magnoliopsida; Poales; Poaceae. The record is from RNAcentral.
AUGGUGAGGAGGGCGGUCCUAACUUUCUCAAAGCUGAAACGAGUGGUGAGGAAGCUGGCUCGAGCCGAGGAAAGCAUGUUCUCCAACAUAAGAGAACCCAUUCGAUUCUCACGGAACGUCAACGACUCACCCGAAAAAAAAUCCUCCCCCAUCCUUUCUCCCCGUCUCUCCCGUUUCUUUGGCGGCGCGGCGGCGGCGGGGGAUCGAAUCUUGGGCGCGCUCUUCGCCGGCAGCGGAAGCGUAUCGAAUCCUGGGGGGUGCUCCUCGCCGGUAUCGACGGCGGAUCGAAUCCUGGGGGCGCUCCUCGCCAGUAGCGGUUUGCGAAAUCAGCGGCGAGCGAGUAGCGGCAGCAACGACGGCCAGCAGUUGCAAGCAGCGACGGCUUCAUCCUUCUUGCUUCUUUUCGGGGUUUCUCCCCCUAUUGGUCUAGUUUUCUUGGUUCUUUUUCAAGUCACGGCAAGCAGCGAGGGCUCCGUUCUUUCCUCUCCCCUAAUCAAUCAAGGGAAGAGCAAGCAGCAUCUGUACGAGGCUGGUUUUCGCCGGCGACCUCACAUAGGCAGCGCGAGCUCGAUCGAUUUGUGGCGAUCGAUCAACUCCGUGCUCGCCAAGCUCGACUCCACCAGACUGAAGAAGAAUCAUCCCAAGAUGAUGGAAGUGUUAUGUCAAGGCGUAGUGAACCUAAAGAAGGGUUUCGACAAGCUUGGCGGGGGGUGGGCGAUGGAUCGGGGUGCCCUGUUGUGGACGAAGUUUGCGAGGGACCUGGUCUUUGACAUUGAAGAGUGGAUCGACGAGCCAAAGAGCGCAUAUUUAUCGGAGAGAGAGAUGACUGCUUUGUUCAAGUCUAGGAUCCACAAUGUGCUUGAGCACUUCACGUGGUGCGACCUUCUCAGUCCAACUGAUGAUGAGUUCAAGACCAUCGAUGAAUUGUGUAAAGAUCUGGAGAGCCUAAAAAAGGAACUCCCCUCUAAGUUUGGGCCACUGGAAAAACUAAUCCAGGACUAUAAGACCAAGAUACAGGAAACACGUGAAGUCUUGAAGCAUUGUGGUGAUAAGCUCAGUACAGCCCCCAUGGAGUGUCCACUGAUUUAUGAGGACAAAACCCGUGACCUCAUUGCUCUCAAAGAAUCAAGUAGUAAGCUUAUCAUGCAUCUGACUGCCGCACGGCUGCGGCUAAUGUUGGUAUCUAUCGUCGCAAUGGAAGGCCUUGGUAAGACUACCCUUGCCAAGGUGGUAUAUGCAAAGCUUCAAUGCAAGUUUGAGUGCCGAGCUUUCAUCACUGUUGGCCGAAAACCGUCUCUAUCGGCCACUCUAUUGGAUAUACUUCAUCAAGUAAAGCCUCAGGGUACUAUUCCUCAGAAUGGCAUGGAAGCUCCUGAAAUGAAUCAAGUCGUAACUGAGCUCAGGGAAUACCUCGUCACGAAGAGGUAUUUCAUUUUAAUUGAUGACAUUUGGAGCAUCUUGGCAUGGGAUGUUAUUAAUUCUGUUUUGCGUGAGAAUGAUCUCGGAAGUAGAGUAUUGAUCACAACUUGCAUCAGCGACGUAGCCAAGUAUUGUUGUCCUAUGCGCCCAAUUGAUGUCAUCCACCAGAUGGAGCCUCUCAGCGAGGAAGAAUCCAAGACUUUAUUUCACAAGGAGGCAAAAAGGCCUGCUGAAAAUGAGUUGUUGAAAAUGUGUGGCGGCAUGCCAUUGGCAAUAAUUAUUGCAGCUGGCAGGAAAUCUGCAGUACUAGCUGAGCCAGAGAUUCGUGAGAGACGUAUCCUGUCAACAUCAGACCAAUGUUCCACAUCAGAUGGGAUGAGAAUGUUAUUGCGCAUGAGUUAUGAUGAACUGCCUGCCCCUUUGAAGUCUUGUCUUCUAUACCUCGGCGUCUUUCCAGAAUAUUAUACCAUUAAGAAAGACCGUUUGAUACGUCUAUGGAUCGCCGAGGGAUUUUUCUUAGGAAGACAUGAAGAAAAUUCGUGGGGAACGGGAGAAAGCUAUUUCAAUGAGCUCAUCUGUAGGCGGCUGAUCCAGCCAGUGUUUUGCUACGAAGAUGGCCAGGCUGUAGGAUGUGUGGUGCAUGGUGUGAUCCUUGACUUCAUCAAAACUUUGUCUAGGGAAGACAACUUUGUGACGACGGGUGCAGAUAUGAGGUACGCUGCAAGGAAGAUGAAGCCGGCACGCUGCUCUCAGGAACCCUGCACCUAUCUAGCAUGUGAACCCUCCAAGUUUGCGGGCAUGUUGGAUGGACAACCCUCCUCACAUACCCUAAGACACCAUCUGAAAGGCAUUGGAGGGCUGAUUCUGCUAAGGUACUUGGGACUUAGAGGGUCUGCUAUGCAUGAAUUACCAGGCGAAAUUGGAAAGCUGGAGCACUUGGAGACGCUGGAUGUCAGGCACACUAAUCUGAGAAAUCUGCCUGCAUCUAUAGCUGGAUUGAAAAGGAUGGUAUGCCUACUGAUUGAAGAUACCGUGAAGAUGAUGGGCGAUAUCCUUAUGAUGCAAGGACUACAAGAAGUAUCAACGAUCCGUGUCGACAACGUCAAGUCACUCCAUAAGGUCGUAGAGCUGCUGGUUCGGUCAGGGAGGCUAAGUGUCCUUGGCUUGAGCUUUGACGGAUUAGAUCCAUCUGUGGACAGUGCACGUGCCAUCGUCGAUUUCCUCAAGGCGGUUGGACACUCUAACCUUCAGUCCCUCUCUCUGCAUUGUCUUGAUGGUGACUUGGUAGGCCAACUGGACUUGUGUCCACACCGGUUGCGAAGAUUUGACCUGACCAUAUCUAGCGCAAUCUUGGGAAGUACUGCAUUUUGUAUGACCUCCUGUGUCACCCACUUGAAUAUUGAAAUGACUCAAUUGGGAGAGCAAGGUCUGAGUAUCAUCGCGUCCGUGCCCCAUCUUAUCCUUCUCAAGUUAGUAUCUUCAGGACCUGCUGCUGACAUGACGGACACGCACUCAUCUUCCAGAGGACAAAGAAGAAGGGUGAUAAUUUGCAGUGGCGCCUUUCCGUGUCUUAAGGUGUUCUGGUUCACAUGCAAGGCUGGUGGGAAAGAGCUGCAGUUUGAUCGAGGAGCCAUGCCACGGCUGCGGGGUCUUAGGCUCCACUUCAACGCUCUAGAGACGCUGUCUCUUUAUGGAGAUUUUGAAUUUGGCAUUGAGCAUCUCUCUAGCCUCACCAGAAUCCAUGCCGCUAUUGGAUGUGAAGAUGCUACGGCUCCAGGGGUGGAGCUUGCAGAGGCUGCCAUCACGGAGCAAGUCUGUCGGAUCUCCUCCGCCAACACACCCACAAUAGAGUUCAGCAGAGAGAUGACCGGGAUGCUUGAGGGGGAAAAGAAGAGUGUAGGUCCCUGUACAGAGACGGUGACAACGAUCACCCGGAAAAAGAGCUUGAGCAGAUGUUGA